Molecule: ribosomal RNA, 981 nt
Filed under: uncultured bacterium
Lineage: Bacteria
Description: bacterial SSU rRNA
Rfam family: Bacterial small subunit ribosomal RNA
Source: RNAcentral
CCAGCAGCCGCGGUAAUACGUAGGGAGCGAGCGUUGUCCGGAAAUUACUGGGCGUAAAGGGCGCGUAGGUGGUCCAUUAAGUUACUGGUGAAAGUUCGGGGCUUAACCCCGUGACUGCCUGUAAUACUGGUGGACUUGAGUGCAGGAGAGGGGAGUGGAAUUCCCAGUGUAGCGGUGAAAUGCGUAGAUAUUGGGAGGAACACCAGUGGCGAAGGCGGCUCUCUGGACUGUAACUGACACUGAGGCGCGAAAGCGUGGGGAGCAAACAGGAUUAGAUACCCUGGUAGUCCACGCCGUAAACGAUGAGUGCUAGGUGUUGCGGGUAUCGACCCCUGCAGUGCCGUAGUUAACACAAUAAGCACUCCGCCUGGGGAGUACGGUCGCAAGACUGAAACUCAAAGGAAUUGACGGGGGCCCGCACAAGCGGUGGAGUAUGUGGUUUAAUUCGACGCAACGCGAAGAACCUUACCAGGGCUUGACAUCCUCUGAAAGCCGUAGAGAUACGGUCCUUAGUCUUCGGACUAACAGAGAGACAGGUGGUGCAUGGUUGUCGUCAGCUCGUGUCGUGAGAUGUUGGGUUAAGUCCCGCAACGAGCGCAACCCCUAACAUUAGUUGCCAGCGAGGUAGGUCGGGAACUCUAAUGUGACUGCCGUUGACAAAACGGAGGAAGGUGGGGAUGACGUCAAAUCAUCAUGCCCCUUAUGUCCUGGGCUACACACGUACUACAAUGGCCGGUACAGACGGAGGCGAAGCUGUGAAGCGGAGCAAACCUGAGAAAGCCGGUCCCAGUUCGGAUUGUAGUCUGCAACUCGACUACAUGAAGUCGGAAUCGCUAGUAAUCGCAGGUCAGCAUACUGCGGUGAAUACGUUCCCGGGCCUUGUACACACCGCCCGUCACACCACGAAAGCUGACAACACCCGAAGCCGGUGACUUAACCGCAAGGAGAGAGCCGUCGAAGGUGGGGUUGGUGAUUGGGGUG